RNAcentral lists this ribosomal RNA (253 nucleotides) under uncultured bacterium. RNAcentral describes it as "partial 16S ribosomal RNA". It matches the Rfam family "Bacterial small subunit ribosomal RNA", at positions 524 to 776 of the family's 1533-position model. The record is from RNAcentral.
UACGUAGGGUGCAAGCGUUGUCCGGAAUUAUUGGGCGUAAAGGGCUCGUAGGCGGUCCAUCGCGUCGGGAGUGAAAACUUACAGCUUAACUGUGAGCGUGCUUCCGAUACGGGCAGACUUGAGGUAUUCAGGGGAGAACGGAAUUCCUGGUGUAGCGGUGAAAUGCGCAGAUAUCAGGAAGAACACCCGUGGCUAAGGCGGCUCUCUAGUACGGUACUGACGCUGAGACGCGAAAGCGUGGGGAGCGAACAGG